GGAGACAACUGAUGUACUGCUGUCUCCUCCGCUGUAUAUAUAAUUGAUCCCCCCGGUUCCGUUUUCUCUGUUGGAAGGAGAAAAGAUCUGUCGAAUUUUACAACCCUUGAAUUACAAAGAUGGCGACUGGUGGAAAGGUCUCCUUCAAAGUUACUCUCACUUCAGAUCCAAAGCUCCCUUUCAAAGUAUUUAGCGUGCCAGAGGCAGCUCCAUUCACCGCUGUUCUGAAAUUCGCGGCCGAGGAAUUCAAGGUCCCUCCCCAAACCAGCGCCAUCAUCACCAACGAUGGGGUUGGAAUUAAUCCUCAGCAAAGUGCAGAACGUGGGGAUAAAAUAGCUAUUGCGGCGGAAUCGGUCAACAGGCAGUUGCUGCACUAUCCCAUUUCCUCCAUUAUCUUUAGUUGCUUAAAAGUAGGAGUUUGCGGUUGUAUUUUUAUAUAUUUAAACCAUUCCCAAGCAGCAAGGAAAGCAGACAAUUAUUGAAUCUAAAAUUUUGUGGUUUAUUCUCACCCGAAGAGAAUUUCUUUAUUAAUUUUCUUUUGGCUUCUGAUCGGGACCUAUCAAAAAGCGCCCUUGUUUUUCUUUCCAGAGGCGGCGAAAAGGUUUUACAUAAAUGCACACGUGUACGUGUAUAUAUAUAUAUAUAUAUCUCUUCAACCACUGUUUCUUCUUUAAAGCGCUCCCUUCUCUUUCUUGUUCUCUCUUCUUGAACGGACACAGCCUCUGUAGAGGUUUCUUGUUCUCUCUUCUUGCACGGACACACAGCCUGCCUAUGUUCUCUUCUCGAGCCUGGUUAUCCUCGAUCUGUUCUUUCAGAAGCGCAGAUUCUCUGAAUCCUACUUUCAGACAUUGUUGCCUGAGUGGAAAAAGAUUCAAGAAAA
Carica papaya (papaya) is the source of this 880-nucleotide non-coding RNA. NCBI's taxonomy places the organism in Eukaryota, Viridiplantae, Streptophyta, Magnoliopsida, Brassicales, Caricaceae. The record is from RefSeq and is a predicted model, not a curated record.